Molecule: long non-coding RNA, 11079 nt
Organism: Octopus bimaculoides (California two-spot octopus)
Lineage: Eukaryota; Metazoa; Mollusca; Cephalopoda; Octopoda; Octopodidae
Source: RefSeq, a predicted model, not a curated record
GGGACCUGCUACAUGGUUCCUUGACAUAGAAGAAAUAGCAGCCAAAUAUCUCUGGAAUUACAUCCCAUCAUCUUGAAAUAGGAAAGACACAUUAUGAUGUAGUCUUAGAUACACUAUAUCUAACAAGGCUGAUCUGGGGCUUAAGAAUAAGACUGAUAGGUAUGCAAUAUUAUAAAAGAGCAUCGCAUAGAUCUGUAUAUGUAUGUAUUGUAGAACAGCAGAUGCACCUAUUAAGUUAUAGGUGGUGGUGGUGGUGGAAGAGGCAUUCUAGUGUAAGUGGGUUACUUAAAAACAUUAUCAGUAGUUAGCAAACAUUAUCGGGCAUGACCUAAGCAACAAAGAAAAUUAAACAAAAGCAACAGGAGGAAAUCUAUUCUGUCCCCAUUUUCCAUCUCUAAGUCAUGGGACCAACAGUUGACAAACAUUUCUUAAAAGUAUAUCACACAAAACACAGCAGCAAACUUAUGUAAGUUUAUAAACACAGCAAACAACAACAGCUAAUGAAGGAGCCUCCGGAUAGUUGCUCAGCUUGCUAGAAACGGGAGCCAAAUCACCUUCAUAUCAUAUCACGCCCUACAGUCUUAAAAAUAAAAAUUUUUUUUAAAAAUGGAAAACAUAUUGCUGGAUAACUUAGUUAAUAUACAAUGUCUGGAAAAAAAAGACAAGAUGGUUAUGGCUGGACUACUUUUGAUCAUAGAUCUGCUAAAUCAAAGCUGAUCAGGGGUGAAAACCAAUGACAACCCUACACUGGUUUAUAACAAUACAAACUAUGAAUGGAGCCUCUCAAAACUUGACUUGAAUCUACCUCAAUGCAAUAGUUAUAACUCACUUGAACCCCUUAUUAUAACUUAAAUGAGCUCCACACUUUGCAAGUUCUCAAUUACAUCUGAAACAGCAAGCCCACCUUUGCUUUUAAAUAAUUUCAUUUAUUACUCUAAAUGGAAAAUGGACAAGCAGACAAGGAAGCAUCUAUUUGGUUGCUAAAUUUAAUAGAAACAGCAGCCAAAUAUAUUGUCUAAAGAAAAGGAAGAACACACUGGACAAUAGAUAUAAAAUAAUUAGGAUGGCCAUGGGUGGAAAGCCUCUGAUCAUAGGUCUGUGCUAUCAAAGCCUAAGCAACAACAUAAAGACUGGAUGACCAUGUUAAGAAACUUGUGAUCAGAACAAUACAAAAGGCACAUUAGACUGGGUUUGAACCAAUGGCAUAUUUUCCAUGUAUUUGAUCAGAAAUGCCUUCCUGCUCCAGAAGAGGUGAAUGUAGGCUACUCAACAACUGCAAGAACAACAACAUUAAAAUACUAACAGCUGUGACAGUACUAGAAUACUGGAAUCUAACCAGCACACAUUCCAGACUAAUAGCACACUAAUUAGAGAAAAUAAGCAAAAAGUAAAUAAAUCGACAAAAAAACUACUAAUGACUCAACAAAUGAUUGGAAAAACAAAAUUAGAAGUGAUUAGUAGACCACAGCAACAAAAACUCCAUUUGUUUUUACAGUAUGGAAUGAGGUGCACUGAUGUUAAUAUAGCAGUUUAACCUUUACAGUUGGUCUUCUACAUUUGUGUAGUUGGUACUAGUAGAAUCCAUCACCUCUGUAAAAUACUGACCACAGUACAGCUUUCUGUGAUAAAUUGUUUUAGUCUGACCAGUGUUCUUCUAACCCUGACCAUCUCAUUUUCUGCCCUAUUAUAUCAAGAUUCAGUUACCAAGUAUUUUUCAACUAUUUUGAAGAGAAUUGGAUGAAGUUUGAAGGAGAUCUGGCAACUAUUUCUAGCAAGUCAAAUGAUCACACAAAAGCUUCCAGACUGCCCAUUUCUGUUACAUCCAGAAGUAGAAACUCCAGGUGAACAGUGGAGAGAGUACAACAUGCCUAGACUGCCACGUUGCGCCACACACUGCCCUAUGGAUCACAACCAGACAAAGCUAUGGCAUAUUCAGAGUAAUGGAUCGCUCCUAGAGGGUCAGCUGAUGAAGCCUGUUCAAUCUAUGUUGAUAUGGGACUACCAAAAAAAAAAAAAAAAAAAAAAAUCAACAACUGUCCACAUUGUAAUUUUAUGUGAAAGAUAAUGGAGAGAAAUAAGACGUAAUGUUUACACUUUUCCUGGUCAAGUCAAAGUGAAAUAAAAUGGAAUUACUGCCAAUAGGAAACAAAAGUAAGUUCUAGACAUAAAUGGACCAAGAACUGACCACUGAUCACCCUAAAACUGUUUGCAUCAAAUGUGAAGUAUAUGAUUCUGAGGAGAGUAAAGAGUUGAAAAAGGGGUAGGAGUUCUAAUAUUCAUGCCUUUCUAUUAAGUGAAAUGAAAACUCAAGGAGUAUGGUGGCCACUUGAAAGAGUAUCGUAUUCAACUCAUCUACAGCUAAUUAGUACUCUCUGAUAUUCCCAGCAAAGCAUCAAGAAAUUGUGAUAAGUGGAUGAUUAGAAAGAAAACACUGCUUCUUUCUUUUCUUUCUUUCUUUUUUUUUGUGAAUGGAGAAAUACUGAAGAUUGACAGAGACCCUUCAAUACACUGAGAAAUCUUGUAGAUGGCAGACUAUUAAGAGAAGAAUACUGGCACAGAACAUAGCAGAACAUCCAUGAGAGAUAACCUACUGCAAACUACAGGCCAAUUUCUCGGAUGAGAAGGAAAUCCAACCAGGAAAUAACAAUAUGCUGGAUGCCCUUCCUAGCAGAGUGGGCCGAGUGCUUUUUAUGCGGCACCAGCACAGAAAGUAGAGUGGGAUGGAGGUGAUAUACUAUAGGUAAGAUACUCUUUCUUUAUAUAUUUUAUUAUGUUCAUUUACUUUGCUUAGUCAAUGAUCUUCGGAUGUUGAGUCUCACAAAGGCAAUGACAAGUGGUCGAGACCUCUAGAGAAUUGCUUGUCAAGCUAAGUGAAAUCGUGGUUGUAGCCAGUGCCAGCGACACAUUAAAGACAUCCGUGCCAGUAACAUAGCAAAGCACCUUUGCUGGUGACAUGUAAAAAACACCCAGUACACUCUGUGGAGUGGCUGAUAUUAGGAAGGGCAUCCAGCUGAAGAAACCAAGCCAAAAUAGACUGGAGCCUGGUGUGGUUCUCCGGUUCACCAGCUCCAGUCAAGCCAUCUAAUUCAUGCCAGCAUGGAAAGCUGAUGUAUGAUGAUGAUGAUGAUGAGUAAGGAAGGCAGUGCCCAUGACUCUUUACAGGGUUUCUGAAAUAGGUGAGUGAGAAACAGAGAAGUAUCCUUAAACUAGAGACCUGACCCAAAUGCUUGCAACAGUGUUGGCCUCAUUGAGGACACCCAAGGUGCCAGGUGGUGGUAAUGAAUCAAGCAAUGGGUAAAGCGUACAAACCAAGUAGACCACAGUGAAAUUUGAUCCCAGGACUCAGAGAGCUCCAAUAAAUACCUCAAGGCAUUUCAUUCAACAUUCUAACAAUCUUGUCAGUCCACUACCCAGUUAUGGUACUUUAUUCACCAAUUCCCAAAAGGAUGGAAAGUAAAGCUGACCUUGGCAGAACUGAACACAGGAUGCAAUAAGUCAGGAUAAACACUAUGAUUUCAUCUGAUGCUACCAACUGCCAAUUCAUUGCCUCAAUCAAUUCAGGUGUAACAAAGCAGCAGAAGAGGUUGCAGUUCACCAGGUAAAGAAGCAGAUAAUAUUGUAGAAGAGACAGAAGAAUGAUACAGUUCAACGAUGGACCACCAACAGGGGGAAACUGCUUGUAUAAUGAGACACACAGGCUCUUUGGUGCAUGUGAUAUUUGUAUGUGGUAGGUACACUGUCCAAGAUAUGUGGAAACCACUCUAAUAUACACAGCAGUAAAUACAUUUAGUUCUGAAAUAUUUUUAAAAAAGAACACAAACCAUUGUCAUGAACUAUGUGGAACAACCUAGCAUUUGAAGAAAAUACUUUUUUUAGCUUCUAAUUAAUUCUAGAUCAAUGGUUCUCAACCAGAGUCCACAAAAUAUUUUAACAAUUCCCAACAAUAUUUAAUCAUAAAAAUAUAAGGGAAAUUUUUCAAAAAUUAAAUGGCUAUGGGGGUCCAUUAUCAUCAUCAUCAUUUAACAUCGGUUUUCUAUACUGGCAUGGGUUGCAUGGUUUGACUGGGGUCUGGGAAGCCAGAAGGCUGCACCAGGCCCCAAUCUGAUCUGGCAGUGUUUCUACAACUGGAUGCCCUUCCUAAUGCCAAUCACUCUGAGAGUGUAGUGGGUGCUUUUUACGUGCCACCAGCAUAGGGGCCAGAGGAGCUGGCAUCAACCAUGAUCGGAUGGUGCUUUUUAUGUGCCACCAGCACAGAAGCCAGUCAAAGCGGCACUGACAUCAGAUGGUUCGGGUGGUGCUUUUUACGUGCACCAGCAUGGGGCUCACAACUACAAUUUCCAUUUGAUUUGAUUUUGAUAUUGAUGUUGAUGUACUUGACUCAAUAGGUCUCCUCAAGCACAACAGGUCGCCCUACGAUCCAAGGUACUUUUGAGUUGACUGGUUGUGCAACACUGGUCUAGGUUACAGCCGUGGACUCACUUUAUUUGCCAGGUCUUCUCAGUCACAGCAUACCUCCAGAGGUCUCGGUCUUUUAUCAUUGCCUCUGUGAGGCCCAACAUUCGAAGGUCAUGCUUCACCACCUCAUCCCAAGUCUUCCUGGGUCUCCCUCUAUCCCGGAUUCCUUCCAUUGUUUGAGAGUGGCACUUCUUCACACAGCUCUCCUCGUCCAUCCGCAGUACAUGACCAUACCAACGCAAAUGUCUCUCUUGCAUGCCACAUACGAUGCUUCUUAUGUCUAACAUUUCUCUCAGGGUGCUUACACUCUGUCAUGUGUGCACACUGACAUUACACAUCCAGCGGAUCAUGCUAGCUUCAUUUCUUUUGAGCCUACGCAUGUCUUCAGCAGUCAUAGCCCAUGUUUCACUGCUGUGAUGCAUGGCAAUUUGCACACAUGCAUCAUACAAUCUACCUUUCACACUGAGCAAGCGGCCCUUUGUCACCAGUAGGGGUAGAAGCUUUCUGAACUUUACCCAGGCUAUUCUUAUUCUUGUGGUAACACUCUCUGAGCAUCCACCCCCUCAACAGACUUGGUCACCUAGGUAGUGGAAGCAAUCAACUACUUCUAGUUUCUUCCCCUGGCAUGUGAUGGAGUAUUUUCUUAGCAUCUGUGGUUUAUUGCCAGUAGUAUAAAAUAAAAUUCAAAGGGAUCCAUAGGGAGAAAAUGGUUGAGAACAACUGGUAUAAAUCUAUAUAUCUGGGUUUUGAUACUGUUGAAUGAACAGGUUAUCUUGCAAUGUACAGAAUGUUUUUUAAGACCUUUACUUAGUGAGGAAAUAUAGAUUUCAGAGAAAAUGGUGAUGGUGUAUGUGACUAUGAAAGUGCCCACUGUACGAUUAGCUGAAAAGAGAAUAAACAAUGUUCAUAGAUUUUUCAGCCUCCACUACUAACAUGGGACAGAGACAAUAAGAUGAGGUUAACAUAAUUAAUGAUUAAUUUCUACACCUGAAGUUCAGUUGUUGAAGAGGAAAAUAAUAUUUCCAGAGUUCUAGAAUGAUAUAGUUGAUAGUAAAGAUAUAACUGAAGCAACAGGAAAAUUAUCCAAGAAGAUUUGGGUAUAAAAGACUAUUCUACACUAGUGUAGGACAGACUGUGUUUUAUAUAGAGUGGCUUACACUACACACUAUAACCUCAGUAUAUGACAAAUGUUUAGUAUGUAGGUGCUAUAUAUUGCACCUGAAAGUACUUAAAUGAACUUGGAAUUAUACCUCAGAAUCUGCUAUGUGUGUGGAAUAUAUGAAUUACCAUGCUAUGCACCAUACAUUAAUGUGUAGCUUUAUGUUGAGCACUCCAAACCAUAUUUCAAUGUACAGCUGAGUGUGCAGUGUAUAAAUGUCCAUGCUACACACCAUACUUCAGUACAACUUAGUCUGGAGGUGAGGAAGAUGAUUUAAACAAUUUCCUUAAUGAUUUUAAUUCUUAAAACAGCACUGAAAACAAUUUUGCCAUACAGUAUAUAUAAAGGGCAAAUCAGCCAAAUAGAGUGCACACUUCUGAGUUAUACCCAUGGAUAGGAGAGUUGACAAAAUGAGCUAAUGAAACAUUCAAUUAUAUAAUGCUCCUACUAAUAUAGAAGAGCAUAGGCAGUUAGGUGGACAAAGCCAAACAAACCUAAGUGAUUAAGUGCCUUGGACAUGAACACAGCACAGUGUUGACCUGGAUAUAAACUGUUAUCUUUUCAGACAGUUCACUAAUACUACAACAAUCAAACCAAUUACAUAUACUGAUACACACAUGUACAUAUAUAUAUGAGGUAAAUUGAAUUGUUGUGGUGAAGAGAUGUUUAGAAAGAUUAACAAAACCUUUUCUGUCCUCAUGCCAUGGCCAGAGAGCAUGACUUCUAGUAUGGCAUACCUAAAUGCAUAGGGACUUUGUGAAUGGUAACAAACCCUAAAACUAUAACCAAAAGAGAAGCUGAACCAUAGUCUGUCAUACUGAUUUGCUCAUCUGAACUUUCAUUGUGUAUUGAUAAAGAAGUUUGUCGAUCAUAUAAAUACUGAUAUCUAUCAAAACCUCAUAUUCAUUUAGGGCAACAGAAGAUAAAUAGCCUAUUUUAUAUUUUUCUUAAGUGUUAUAGCAACAAAUUAAGUGAAAUACCUCUAACUGAGAUUGGGAACUGAGUCUCAAUUGGUGCUAGUUAGUUAUAGUAGGUAUAUUUUUUUGAUAUACAAAUAUCAAUUUCUUAAACUGAAAGUUACAAACCUACAGAUAAAAAGAAUGAGAUAGUGUGAUAUUCGUGCUGUUUGCAACCAAAUAAUAACUGGGAGAUAUCAUUCAAUAAAAACCCAGAGUUGAAGCAAACACUACUUAUUUGACUAUUAAUAAUAUGACCAAGAACACCCUACAGGGGUACUUUCUGUAUUCUGGCAACAAAUACAGAAGGGUGUUGCAUAAAGAUGAAACCUGCUUUUCAACCAGGUGAUUUGGGGUUCAGUCCCACAGUGCAGCAACUAGGGAAAAUGUCUUCAAAGGCAGCUAAAGCUUUGCAGGUGGAUUUAGUAGAAGGAAAUUGUAAAAAGCACAUCGUAGAUGUAUACAUGUUUCUAUUCUAUAUUUUUGAGAUGAGAAAUUAUGUACUUUAUUUAUAAUGGCCGGAUAGGUGUCCUCAUCUUAUUUGUUGUUAUCACAACAUGUUCGCUGAUGUACCCCACAGCCUUCAUCAGGUGUUCAGGUGGAAUUUUGAAUCCAACCUUUUAUUUGACUAAUGGGAUACACUGUUCUCAUUCCUAAGCUAUAUUGCUGAUGUUAUUUUUCUGUUGAUAUUAUUUUUCAAGUCCCUGCCUGGGAUUGAACUUAGAAUCAGAGGGUUAAUAGCUGAAACAUUGUGAUAACAACAAACAAGAUGAGGACACCUAUCUGUCCAUCGUAAAUAACGUGUGUUUGUUUAAAUCUGCACUUCUGCAAAAAUCACUGAGCUUAGUAUGAUAUAGCUGUCUGUCAUUUCCCCUAUCAACAAGAAAGCAUCCAACAGCAAAACAAAGGCCCAAUAAUGUCCUUUUCUAACCCAUGCUGGCAUGAAAAAAAAAACAAAUAAACAAAUAUAUUUAGUUGAACAACAUGAGUCAACUGAAAUUCUCUAAGCAAUAAGUAGACAAAGACUACUUGUAGAGGUAUUUAAAAUCUAAACACAAGGGAGAUAACCUCAAUAAAAUCAGCUGAUUAAGAUUUCUGAACAUUAUGGACAAUAAAGUUAGAGUGGAUUUAGUAACUGACAUAUUUCAGUCUCAUUAGACCUCUUCAGUAAAGCAUAUUCCACUCAUUUGUUUAUAUUAACAUUAUGGCUGAGGGGAAAUAUAGUCAGUUGAAUAACUGAUCAACUGAGAUUAUUCAAGCAAUUACUAGACAAAAACUCUCUUUAAUGUUGUUAAAAGUUCAAAGUUAAUUAGCAUUUUGCAAUUUUAUUCAAACUAAUUACAAUUAGGGCAUUGUAAAACAGAGUUAAGUUUUCAGUUAAAAGUUACUGCAAGUAAAAAUGUAAACUUUGUCAACCAACUAUUAUUUUAUUAAUGCUAUAGUUUAAAACAACAGAAAUAUAAUGAAGCCACACGAGUACUCCUGUAUGGAAACUCUCAGUCUUUCUGUACAUGCAAGUUACUCAGGUCAUUCUAAUGGAGUAGUUAUCUAAUGAUUAUUAACACUUCUCACUUGUACUGUCUUCAUAUUCUAGCAUGAACCAAAUUUUAAAUUUUUCAAUUUUAUCCCUACUGGUGGAGACGUGGAUGUGUGGUAAAAAGUUUGCUUCCCAAUCACAUGCUUCUGAGUUCAGUCCCACUGCAUGGCAUCAUGGGCAAGUGUCUUCUACUAUAGCCUCGGCCUUGUGAGUGGAUUUGAUAAACAGAAACUGAAAGAAGCCCAUCGUGUAUGUGUAUAUAUAUAAAUAAUAGUGUGUAUGUGUGUGUCUUUAUGUAUGUGUUUGUCCCCCACCACUGUUUGACAACUAGGGUUGGUAUGUUUAUGUCCCUGUAACUUAGUGGGUUGGCAAAAGGAAUCAAUAGAAUAAGUACAAAGCUUUACAAAAAAUAAGUACUGGGUCGUUAAGUUCAACUGAAAAUUCUUCAAGGCUGUGCCCCAGCAUGGCCACACUCUAAUGAUUGAAACAGGUAAAAGAUAAAAGACAAGGCUUGACUGACUUAAUUGCUGAACAGACUCAGAGGAGGGAUUUAACAAAAUUUACUGUUAGGAAAAUGGCACAAGAAAAUCAUGUCAUCAGGAACAUGUCCCAAUACCUCAUUUCACCAUUUCGUCCUACAUCUUCUUUAGUCUUUCUCUUCUGAAUGUUCUUUCCACUUGGAUUGACACUUCUUUAACCAACUCUUAUCAAUACUGACAUAUGAUACGUGUCAGUAUCAAUACAGAUUUUUCUCUAACACUUUGCGGCUAAUUCUUUUAUAUAUACAUUUAUUUUUGCACAUCACCUCUGAUCUAUCGUUCAUGCAUGCUAACAUUAUACACAUCCAACAGAGUGUGUUCACUUCAUUUCUUUCCAGCUUUAGAAUAUAUUCUGUAUUCAGUGCUCAAGUUACACUAUCAAAUUUCAUUCAUGUCAUACAAUCUGCCCUUCAUUCAGAGAAAGAAAUUGUUUGUUGCAGUCAUGGGUAAUAUUGUUUCUGACUUCAUGCGAUUUAAGUACAAGAUCAGCAAUUUUGAGGGGAGGGAGUUAAUCGAUACCAUCACCGCAGUACUUUAGUAAACUGACCCCAGAAGGAUAAAAGGCAAAGCCAAUUUUAGUGGGGUUUGAAUUCACAAUGUAAAAUGCCAGAAGAAAUGCUACGAAGCAAUUUGUUUGACACUAAUGAUUCUGUCAAUUCAUUGCUUGGUAAUAUUACUAAUGAAUAUAAGCUGACAGAAUCGUUAGCACAUCAGGCAAAAUACUUAACAACAUUUCUGUCUUUACGUUCUGAGUUCAAAUGCUGCCGAGGUCGACUUAUCCUUUCAGGGUCAAUAAAAUAAAUGCCAGUUAUGCACAGAGGUUGAUGUAAUCAGCUUAACCUCUCCCCCAAAAUUCUUGGCCUUGUGCCAAAACUUGAAACCUUUAUUAAUAUUACUAUUGAAUACUUAACUCCUAAACAGAGAUUUCAUUCUAUCUUCAUAACAGUGAUUUCUUUGACAAGACAAUUUACAUAUUUGUAGGAUAAGGAGUAUAGGGAACAGAGAUAUGUAUCUGAUACUUAUGAGGUCCAGUAGGAUUUAAACUCAGAAUGUAAGAUGUACUAUAAUACAGCUACAGGGCUGGCUCAAGGUAUUGGCAACUCGGGCAGUUGCCCGGGGCGCCAUGUGCUAGGAGAUGCCAAGAAGGGCAUGACAAAGAGAAGGAAAUUUCCACGACCGUCAACUUGUACAUGAUGAAGUUCUGCUUGCCAGGCGCUAGUAACCCUCUGUACAGCUGAAUGAUGUUCCUAUCCCACUGAACGCUCGAACAUCACAAAGUACUUAUUUUUCCCUCUUUACCCAUACAUAUUAAUGAAUGCACAGAAUAUGGAGAUGAUAUCAGAUGAUAAAGACAAAAAUUCAUGUGUAUUAUUAAGCAAACCAGCUGUAUAUUAAGCCAGGUGGAUAUAAACAAGCUAAAAGUGUAUUAAGCCAGGUGUGCAUUAACAGGUGAAGGGAUGAUUAAUAGAUUUUUUUUUGUUUCAGCCCAAAAGCGGUGACCAUGCUGGAGCAUCGCCAGUCACGUAUGCUUUUAUUUAUUAUUUUUUGCACCUGUUUUUAAUAUCAUUUGUAUCUAGUAUGUCACAUAACACAUUUAUUCACAGUGCUCUGAGAUCAAAUGCCGCCAGGGUCCACUUUGCCUUUCAUCCUUUCGGGCUUGACAAAAUAAGUACCAGUUAAACACUGGAGUCGAUGAAAUCGAUUUAUCCCUUCACCCGAAAUUACUGGCCUUGUGCCGAAAUUUGAAACCAUUGUUAAUAAUAGUAGUUGAAGUAUUGUUGUUAUUGCAUCGUCUCCUUCAUUCAAAGCUGACUGAUCGUAAGAAAACCAGUUUUCCAGUAAUCAUGAACAAACAACACGGUGAGGAUGAAAAUGUUGACGCACGGGGAAAUGUUUGAAAUGCCUCCCCUCCCUCGCAACACAGCAGUUGGCGCCGGGUGAGAGCAGCUACCCAAGGAAGAGACAACUGAAGUUUGGCUGUUUUGAGAUUCACUGUCUGGCUGUUUCCAUACAUUUUUGUAUAUAUAUAUAUACAUACUAACAUACAUUUUUGUAUAUAUAUAUACAUACUAACAUACAUUUUAUAUAUAUAUAGAUACUAACAUACAUUUUUUAUAUAUGCAUACAUACUAACAUACAUUUUUAUAUAUACAUAUAUAUACAUACUAAGAUAUAUUUUUUUAUAUAUAUACAUACAUACUAACAUACAUUUUUUAUACAUCUAUACAUAGACUUUUAUAUUAUACAUACAUACAAUUAAAACUUUUCCGUUAUGUGUUUUUGCCAUAUUUAACUGAGUAGUGUUGCUACAUAACGUUCUUUUUAUUUUGCUAAAUGUCGCUUUGCCAAUGGAAAAAUCGUUAACACUGUUAUUAUUUGUAUGUAGAUCAAUGAACGAAAGAGAAAGUGGCUUGUUUAAAUCCUACCUUUUCA